UCCUCAUUGGUCUAGUGGUAAGGAUACCUGCUUGUCAAACGACAGUUCGCAGGUGGCCAGGGUUCGAUUCCCUGAUGGGGAG
This 82-nucleotide transfer RNA is filed under the name Scedosporium apiospermum. It matches the Rfam family "tRNA". Rfam says of the family: Transfer RNA (tRNA) molecules are approximately 80 nucleotides in length. Their secondary structure includes four short double-helical elements and three loops (D, anti-codon, and T loops). Further hydrogen bonds mediate the characteristic L-shaped molecular structure. tRNAs have two regions of fundamental functional importance: the anti-codon, which is responsible for specific mRNA codon recognition, and the 3' end, to which the tRNAs corresponding amino acid is attached (by aminoacyl-tRNA synthetases). tRNAs cope with the degeneracy of the genetic code in two manners: having more than one tRNA (with a specific anti-codon) for a particular amino acid; and 'wobble' base-pairing, i.e. permitting non-standard base-pairing at the 3rd anti-codon position. The record is from Rfam by way of RNAcentral. Lineage: Eukaryota; Fungi; Ascomycota; Sordariomycetes; Microascales; Microascaceae.